GACGAACGCUGGCGGCGUGCUUAACACAUGCAAGUCGAACGGAAAGGCCCUGCUUUUGUGGGGUGCUCGAGUGGCGAACGGGUGAGUAACACGUGAGUAACCUGCCCUUGACUUUGGGAUAACUUCAGGAAACUGGGGCUAAUACCGGAUAGGAGCUCCUGCUGCAUGGUGGGGGUUGGAAAGUUUCGGCGGUUGGGGAUGGACUCGCGGCUUAUCAGCUUGUUGGUGGGGUAGUGGCUUACCAAGGCUUUGACGGGUAGCCGGCCUGAGAGGGUGACCGGGCCCAUAGGGAUUGGGGAGGGAGCAGGAGUGCUACGGGGGGCAGGGGUGGAGGAUAGAGCAAGAUGGGCGGAGUGCUGGAGCAAGGAUGCCGGGUGGGAGAUGACGGCCGUCGGGUUGGAAACCGGUUGAGCCUGUAACGAAGAGUGAGUGACGGUAAUGGCUCAGGAAGCACCGGCUAACUACGUG
Molecule: ribosomal RNA, 468 nt
Filed under: uncultured bacterium
Lineage: Bacteria
Description: partial 16S ribosomal RNA
Rfam family: Bacterial small subunit ribosomal RNA
Source: RNAcentral